CACGUAGGCGGAUAGGUAAGUCAGAUGUGAAAUCCCGGAGCUCAACUCCGGAACUGCAUUUGAUACUGCCUGUCUUGAGUGAGGUAGAGGGGGGUGGAAUUCCCGGUGUAGAGGUGAAAUUCGUAGAUAUCGGGAGGAACACCAGAGGCGAAGGCGACCCCCUGGGCCUCUACUGACGCUGAGGUGCGAAAGCGUGGGGAGCAAACA
Molecule: ribosomal RNA, 207 nt
Filed under: uncultured bacterium
Lineage: Bacteria
Description: partial 16S ribosomal RNA
Rfam family: Bacterial small subunit ribosomal RNA
Source: RNAcentral